CAGGCUUAACACAUGCAAGUCGAGGGGCAGCAUGGUCUUAGCUUGCUAAGGCCGAUGGCGACCGGCGCACGGGUGAGUAACACGUAUCCAACCUGCCGUCUACUCUUGGACAGCCUUCUGAAAGGAAGAUUAAUACAAGAUGGCAUCAUGAGUCCGCAUGUUCACAUGAUUAAAGGUAUUCCGGUAGACGAUGGGGAUGCGUUCCAUUAGAUAGUAGGCGGGGUAACGGCCCACCUAGUCUUCGAUGGAUAGGGGUUCUGAGAGGAAGGUCCCCCACAUUGGAGCUGAGACACGGUCCAAACUCCUACGGGAGGCAGCAGUGAGGAAUAUUGGUCAAUGGGCGAGAGCCUGAACCAGCCAAGUAGCGUGAAGGAUGACUGCCCUAUGGGUUGUAAACUUCUUUUAUAAAGGAAUAAAGUCGGGUAUGGAUACCCGUUUGCAUGUACUUUAUGAAUAAGGAUCGGCUAACUCCGUGCCAGCAGCCGCGGUAAUACGGAGGAUCCGAGCGUUAUCCGGAUUUAUUGGGUUUAAAGGGAGCGUAGAUGGAUGUUUAAGUCAGUUGUGAAAGUUUGCGGCUCAACCGUAAAAUUGCAGUUGAUACUGGAUAUCUUGAGUGCAGUUGAGGCAGGCGGAAUUCGUGGUGUAGCGGUGAAAUGCUUAGAUAUCACGAAGAACUCCGAUUGCGAAGGCAGCCUGCUAAGCUGCAACUGACAUUGAGGCUCGAAAGUGUGGGUAUCAAACAGGAUUAGAUACCCUGGUAGUCCACACGGUAAACGAUGAAUACUCGCUGUUUGCGAUAUACUGCAAGCGGCCAAGCGAAAGCGUUAAGUAUUCCACCUGGGGAGUACGCCGGCAACGGUGAAACUCAAAGGAAUUGACGGGGGCCCGCACAAGCGGAGGAACAUGUGGUUUAAUUCGAUGAUACGCGAGGAACCUUACCCGGGCUUAAAUUGCAGAUGAAUUACGGUGAAAGCCGUAAGCCGCAAGGCAUCUGUGAAGGUGCUGCAUGGUUGUCGUCAGCUCGUGCCGUGAGGUGUCGGCUUAAGUGCCAUAACGAGCGCAACCCUUGUUGUCAGUUACUAACAGGUUCCGCUGAGGACUCUGACAAGACUGCCAUCGUAAGAUGUGAGGAAGGUGGGGAUGACGUCGAAUCAGCACGGCCCUUACGUCCGGGGCUACACACGUGUUACAAUGGGGGGUACAGAGGGCCGCUACCACGCGAGUGGAUGCCAAUCCCCAAAACCUCUCUCAGUUCGGACUGGAGUCUGCAACCCGACUCCACGAAGCUGGAUUCGCUAGUAAUCGCGCAUCAGCCACGGCGCGGUGAAUACGUUCCCGGGCCUUGUACACACCGCCCGUCAAGCCAUGGGAGCCGGGGGUACCUGAAGUGCGUAACCGCGAGGAGCGCCCUAGGGUAAAACUGGUGACUGGGGCUAAGUCGUA
RNAcentral lists this ribosomal RNA (1443 nucleotides) under uncultured organism. RNAcentral's name for it is "16S ribosomal RNA". It matches the Rfam family "Bacterial small subunit ribosomal RNA". The record is from RNAcentral.